This 382-nucleotide ribosomal RNA is filed under the name uncultured eukaryote. RNAcentral's name for it is "partial 18S ribosomal RNA". It matches the Rfam family "Eukaryotic small subunit ribosomal RNA", at positions 592 to 976 of the family's 1831-position model. The record is from RNAcentral.
CAAUAGCGUAUAUUAAAGUUGUUGCAGUUAAAAAGCUCGUAGUUGGAUUUCUGGUGAGGUGGAUUAUGUCUAGGUCGAAAGAUCUUGUUCAUGGUUCGUUUUGCCCUUCUUGUCAGGAACCCGCUGAGAUUCGCGUCUUGUCGGUGGAAUGGCAUCGUUUACUGUGAAAAAAUUAGAGUGUUCAAAGCAGGCAUCGCCGUUGAAUACAUUAGCAUGGAAUAAUAAGAUAAGACUUUGGUGGUCUAUUUUGUUGGUUUGCACGCCAAAGUAAUGAUUAAUAGGGAUAGUUGGGGGUAUUCGUAUUCUAUUGCUAGAGGUGAAAUUCUUAAAUUUAUGGAAGACGAACUACUGCGAAAGCAUUUACCAAGGAUGUUUUCAUUAA